This 211-nucleotide ribosomal RNA is filed under the name unidentified marine eubacterium. Its description in RNAcentral is "partial 16S ribosomal RNA". It matches the Rfam family "Bacterial small subunit ribosomal RNA", at positions 527 to 737 of the family's 1533-position model. The record is from RNAcentral.
GGAGGGUGCGAGCGUUAAUCGGAAUUACUGGGCGUAAAGCGCACGCAGGCGGUUUGUUAAGCUAGAUGUGAAAGCCCCGGGCUCAACCUGGGACGGUCAUUUAGAACUGGCAGACUAGAGUCUUGGDGWGGGCAGUGGAAUUCCAGGUGUAGCGGUGAAAUGCGUAGAUAUCUGGAGGAACAUCAGUGGCGAAGGCGACUCCCUGGCCAAA